RNAcentral lists this ribosomal RNA (253 nucleotides) under uncultured bacterium. RNAcentral describes it as "partial 16S ribosomal RNA". It matches the Rfam family "Bacterial small subunit ribosomal RNA", at positions 524 to 776 of the family's 1533-position model. The record is from RNAcentral.
UACGUAGGGGGCAAGCGUUGUCCGGAAUCAUUGGGCGUAAAGAGCGUGUAGGCGGCUUGGUAAGUCCGCUGUGAAAGUCCAGGGCUCAACCCUGGAAUGCCGGUGGAAACUACCAAGCUGGAGUACGGUAGGGGCAGAGGGAAUUUCCGGUGGAGCGGUGAAAUGCGUAGAGAUCGGAAAGCACACCAACGGCGAAAGCACUCUGCUGGGCCGACACUGACACUGAGAGACGAAAGCUAGGGGAGCGAACAGG